AUGUUAGUCUCAACCUCACCAGACAUCUGCUGGGGCCCCCGUGCAGUCGCUCACGAGGCUGCUCAGCAGAGCCACCCGAGCAGGAGCACCGGCCGCCCUGAUCCACCUCUCCCUGCCUGCCGCAGAGCGAGCCAAGGACUUUUGCAUGGAGCCACGCAAUGGAGAGGCACUUUGUCAUGCGUUGCAGACAUAGCACAGGACACAAGGGACCAAAAGCAAUGGCAAUGACAAUGGUUUCCUUCAAUAGCACAGGUACACAGAGAUGCAGGAGAAAGCCAAACCAUUUCCUCUGGUGAAGUUACAAGCCCUAACUGAGUUAGGAAAAAGUUGAUGGUGGAUAGCAGCCUCUCUGGAUCUGCCAUGCGUGAAGUGUUGACAGCAGCGCUGAACCAGGCGAUUGAGUCACUUCCAGGCGUGGACGUCACUUGGAGGCUGACUACAGCACAGCAGAUGCUCUCCCAAGGUGUGGGUGGCAUUUUCCCACCACAAGAAAGAUUUCAAUGAACUGCAUGGUUUCAGAUGGAUGUGUAUAAUGCCUCGCAAAAUUAAACCAAAUGUGAAUGCAUUUCUUUUUUUACAUGGGAAAUUCUGCAAGCAAUAUAAAUGACAUUUGGGUUCUGCCUUGAGAAAACAUUUGGAAGGAGUAUUUACAAAGGGAAAUCUAGUUUCUCCUUUCACAGUGCACUUCAUUUUUUACAAGUAAUAUUUCUGUUAUUGUUGUAGGUGCCAAGGUCAAAACCCUCUUUAUUUAAAUGGAGUAAAUGCAAAUGUGCUGUGAGACACCAAGUUUACACCACAAUGGGUAAUGACUGUUCAUUUAUUUGUAAGAAAGAACAUUUGCGGUUUAUUUUUGAGCCAAAAAGAUUGUUGGCCGUUAUUACACGUAUGAAAAUGUGGUAUCUCAUUUAAAAUGUGGCAGCAGCUACUGACAGAAGCAAAACUAACCCCCAGAAAACACUGUAGAUAGAAUAACUGUUUUCGAAAUAUGAAUGAGGUCACACUUGGAUGUGAUCUAUGUGUUAUUAAAAUCAAAGAUUUCCCUAGGCAGAAAGCCAUUAAGCCUGAGUUAACGCCAUAAAUAUCUAACAGCUACUUCAGGUGGAUAAUUCUGAUUAAAAUACUGCUGUA
This 1128-nucleotide long non-coding RNA is filed under the name Anser cygnoides (Swan goose). RNAcentral describes it as "lncRNA (ENSACDG00005004240.1)". The record is from RNAcentral. Lineage: Eukaryota; Metazoa; Chordata; Aves; Anseriformes; Anatidae.